GCUAACGCAGACCUCUCCUUCCCUCAGGAUAGUAGACCAAGAUCCACAUCGGUUUUCGAAGUACCAACCAUGCAUCCGUCAGCCUCUCGCCGUCACGCCGCCAAGCAUCGUCGCUACCUGUGCUGCCCCACGGAACCAGAACGAUCGAGGGUUUCGAGCAGAAACUGCAGAUUCUAUUCAAUUGUUCUGUUGUUGCCAACUACCUCGAUCCAGUGUGUUGGUCCAUGAGGUGACUCUGGUGGCGGCGCCAUAACCCGGCUGGAGACGGCAGCGGCGACACGUUCUUCUCUCCUCCUGUCGGCGCGAGCAGUUCGUCCCCAUAGUCGGACCAGAUCAAACGCUUCUUGCAACAUCAAUAUCUUGCAAUCCUCCCAACGGCAGUGGUAGCGGAUUGACCUGGUCUCAACGGCAGCAACAUCACAACGACCCAGAUUCUUGUCUAUCUAGAUCUUGGUAUAUAACUGCAGCAACUCAUAAGUCUGGGAGGCCAAGAAAGAAGACAUAGGUACAGAAGAAGAGGCUUUAUUAUAAAUAUUUUCUAAGACCAGCUGCAGUCUGAAUGAGACUAUUGAGGGCCUUAUUCUGCACCGCCACUUCACUAGGGAAUACAGUCAUCAUCGACAUAGUUUCACUUGGAGAAAACUGUCUGACACUUUAGUAUCAUAGCCACCAAGGUAAAUGGUCAAGUCUUGUGUUCUCAUUGACCUGACUAUUCAAUCAGAGAGUGUUUUGUUGGCGAUUUAUAGCGAACCAAAAGAAAGAAGACAACAAAUAUGUGUUGGGUUAUCUUGUUAACCUCACCAUACAAUUCCUUGUGGGUGGUCUUCGUUAAAUUGAAAAGACUUUGGUAGUUAAUUCAUGCCAUUGGUGGUGAUGGCAGUCCAACGAAGUGCAAUAUGUACAAGUACAAUUGAGCCAAAAAGGAAACUGGAUGCCAUCUGUACUAAAGCUAGAUGUCUCAUACUGUAUAUAAAACCGCCUCGGUGUUUUCUUCCUUGAUUCGAUUUUUUCUUUCUCUACUUCAUUGAUAAAAUAAAGAGAUAGAUUUCACCCUUCUUUUAUUGCCAUUUUCACUCUGUUUUUUUACUGUGAAGUUGGCCGGGCAUGUAAAUAUGAAUCGCCACAUAAAAAGAUCAGCGGCAUCUCAUAUUCUCGUUUAAGUGAUGUACGUGUUCCAGACUAUUUUUCAAGUUUCAGGUCAGAGUCUCUACUCUAAACCAUAGUCACCGUGGAUAUGUAAGAGUGUGCAAGAUUUUUGCGAGUGUUUUUUUUUUUUUGAUAUCACACAAAUUGGUGGGUAAAUGAAAUAUAUAACACUGGUUCUAUAAUCCUUUUUUAUGAUUCUCUUUCGUUUCUUUUAUUAAAUAUCUUAUUAUUAUUCUGUGUACAUAUUUUAAUAGGAUGCCAAACAUCCCAGAGUUUAUCUAUAUUGUGUAUUCCGCCAGAUCUCCAAGAAAUUGUGACAUGUGUGCAGAACAUAGAUGCUUCGAUUUUAUCAUAUACACAAUAUGUUAUACCUAUUACUGAUCCUUCCUUGACAAAAAUAUUUGAGGUAUAAUAUAGUUUCCUAUUACUGAUUCGACGGCGCGGAGCAGUGGCAGCGGUAACAUCUGUUGACCGAUUUGGAGGGGAGCAGAAUAACAGUGAGCAGCAAAGUGUGGACUGGUUCAACAUCAGCCAACAUAAUCGCCCCAACAUCAGCCAGACCGACUGGUUUGAGCUCCUUCCAUGCCUCCCUAACUAUCUUUGCAAGCAGUUGAGUUGGCUUGAACUUUCCUGUACAACUGAAGGUCCUUCUCGAGCGUGUGCAGCUUGAUGUAACAUCAUGCAGUUUGCGAUGGGGAAUCAGUGUUUAGUAGGAACAACUUAGUGCAUAUGUAUUUUGUGUGUACUGACCUGAUGCAAAUAUAUUCAUGUGUAAUGCCAGACAAGGUACAAAGGUAAUGUAGAUUCUGUGUAAUGAUUCGAUUUUCAAACAAUAUUGUGUGCCCUUAGAAAAUUGGAUAUUCGCUAAGUUUGUAAUGACAAGUAAUGUAUGUAAAGUGUACAUUAUCAUACCAAUAUU
This is a long non-coding RNA of Triticum aestivum (bread wheat), 2065 nucleotides long. RefSeq lists it as uncharacterized. NCBI's taxonomy places the organism in Eukaryota, Viridiplantae, Streptophyta, Magnoliopsida, Poales, Poaceae. The record is from RefSeq and is a predicted model, not a curated record. The transcript has 3 exons.